This 614-nucleotide ribosomal RNA is filed under the name uncultured bacterium. RNAcentral describes it as "bacterial SSU rRNA". It matches the Rfam family "Bacterial small subunit ribosomal RNA", at positions 66 to 665 of the family's 1533-position model. The record is from RNAcentral.
ACGAGUUAUCUGAACCUUCGGGGAACGAUAACGGCGUCGAGCGGCGGACGGGUGAGUAAUGCCUAGGAAAUUGCCCUGAUGUGGGGGAUAACCAUUGGAAACGAUGGCUAAUACCGCAUGAUGCCUACGGGCCAAAGAGGGGGACCUUCGGGCCUCUCGCGUCAGGAUAUGCCUAGGUGGGAUUAGCUAGUUGGUGAGGUAAGGGCUCACCAAGGCGACGAUCCCUAGCUGGUCUGAGAGGAUGAUCAGCCACACUGGAACUGAGACACGGUCCAGACUCCUACGGGAGGCAGCAGUGGGGAAUAUUGCACAAUGGGCGCAAGCCUGAUGCAGCCAUGCCGCGUGUGUGAAGAAGGCCUUCGGGUUGUAAAGCACUUUCAGUCGUGAGGAAGGUAGUGUAGUUAAUAGCUGCAUUAUUUGACGUUAGCGACAGAAGAAGCACCGGCUAACUCCGUGCCAGCAGCCGCGGUAAUACGGAGGGUGCGAGCGUUAAUCGGAAUUACUGGGCGUAAAGCGCAUGCAGGUGGUUUGUUAAGUCAGAUGUGAAAGCCCGGGGCUCAACCUCGGAAUAGCAUUUGAAACUGGCAGACUAGAGUACUGUAGAGGGGGGUAGA